UUGUCACAGAACUACAGCCUCCAAACCAGCCUGACCAUUCUGAAUAUUGCAUUGUAGGUGAGGACUUAAAAACAUUUCCCAUUUCUGGCUCUGCUUCCUGAUGAAUUUAUGUCUCCUCUUCUUCCUUCUCUGCUCCUUCCCUACGACCCCUUUGCAGAACUGUGGGGACCUGCUGUGGGUGGAGAGCUUUGGAAAGCUCCUGCAUGUUGCAAUUCCUACCUACUGGAGAAGAGAGGAAAAUCCCAACAAAUGCUUCUGAGGCCAAGGGAAUCAGUGUCUCUUCGUCAGCUCCCCCACUCAGCAGUGAUGCAUCCCCGGGAGAACGAGACAUCUCUGAAUCACACGGCACAGAAGUCUGCGUUCAUCUGGUGGUUUGAGAACUAGCUGCCCUGAUACCAAGCAAGGCUGGCCAGAAAUAGAGAUAAGAGACUGUCAAUACCUGCUCUUCCCUUCAUGCACACAGGAAGCCUAUGAUGAAUGUUUUGGAUUCGUAUAACUAUUGCCCAAGGGCCACCAUUUGAAGGGAAGCUCCAAGCCUAGGGCUUAACCCCCAGUAGAGCUUUUGCUGGAAAUAAACAAGCCCAAAAAGUACCA
Molecule: long non-coding RNA, 594 nt
Filed under: Calidris pugnax (ruff)
Lineage: Eukaryota; Metazoa; Chordata; Aves; Charadriiformes; Scolopacidae
Description: lncRNA (ENSCPUG00000002034.1)
Source: RNAcentral